AAGCUGAAAAAAGGCUGUCCAUCCAGUGCGCACAGACUGCCCACAUAGAAGCGUCUGGGCUGGCCAAUACUCCGAGCGAAGAGUUGGAGAAGUCCUCUCAGUCCCAGGCUGAUAUUCAUUCUGUCGUCUCUGUUCAGAACAGUCAGAGUUGUGAAAAAUCCACACAAUCCCUUUCUGGAGAUCAGAAUCUUCCCAGUGUCUCCUCCAUGGAAAGUGAAACACAGCUUGGCAAAAAUCAAGAGAAAACUGUUUUGCUCAAUGCAACCAUGGAGAUGACCUUAAGUGAAGCCACUGAGAUAGUCACUGUGGAAACAAAAGCGAAAAAAAAAGUCAGCUCUGGCAGAAAGGACAAGGAGCAAAGCUGCGGCUCAAGUAUAGAAGUGCAGAAGUCUGUAUCUUUGUUACAGUCACAUAAAAAGCCGCUGAAGGAUCAAAGUACUGUCACUCGCAUCCCUAAACUGGGCAAGCAUCAGAAGGUCAAAUCAAAGGAUAAAGUCAAAUCUUCUGACCGCACUAACAUCACAAAUGUAGACCAAAUGGAUGUGGAAGAUUACUUCUCUGAUCCUAAAAUUAGGUUUUCAAGCACCAGCAGAAGUGUGGCUGACGAAGCAAGUUCCAAAAUAACAUGCAGGAAGUCCAGAGCUAAAGGAAAGAGGGCCUCUUCAGUAACCAGGAAAAGUUUAUUCACUGUGCCGUCUGAUGAAAGUGAGAGCAGCCAAUCCCACCAGGAGAAGGUCCAAAAACCUAAAGCAGGAGAUGAAAGUUUAGAGUCUCAAGUCUCUGAGGACGCUCUGCUUUGUGCACAUCCAGAGUCCCAGCAUGCGGAGCGUCUGUCCUUUAGCAAAACUAAUACUGUGACUAAUUCUAGGGGAGGUCACAAAUCAAGAUGCAGGGAGACAUUUGUUAUCUCAAUAACCAGCGACAGUGACUCACCAGAGCAUGAUGUGGCGCCUCCUACAGGAUCCAGCUUUCAGGCAGAAGCAGCAGUCAUGAAUAAAAGCAUUGUUGGACAUGUAGAAUCAAGCAAUCGUUCAAAGACUCGGCGCUCUGGGAAGCGAUCCUGGGUGGCCACUCAGGACUCUGGGAACUGUCAAGAGGACUCGAGCAGCGGUGACAGUGGUGAAGCACUGCCGCUGGAUUGGCAGGCGGCUUUAGGAUCACAGUUUCAAAAACGUAAAAAAUCCAGGAGAGACAAAACAGGGCAGCCCUACAGGAACAAAGUGGUGCAGCGAGAAGAGGGUGAUGACUUGUUAGAUGACAAGACGAAGAAAAAAGACAACAAAGACUUAAGGUCUGAGAGUGAAACGUGUUAUCCUCCUGACCCUAGAGACGCCUCCGCUCUCUGCCUUGAUUCUGAAAUCGCUAAAGGUCAAUUACAUGAUUUACAAAUGCUCGACUCACAUUCUGCCAUCAGUGAAAAGCAUGAAAUCUUUGAACAUCUGAAUGAUUCGCAGUCCAGGAGGGAUUCGAGUCCCGCAUCAUCUAGAAAUGUAUUCAUGCUGAACACAGCCAUGGAAACCAGAUAUCCCAGGAAGACUUUUGUUGUCUACAGACGAAAAACUAAGAACAGAAGUGGAUGUAGUUCUGAAAACAUCACCAGGAUGUCGAACGCAUCAGACACCUGCAGUCACACGGUGGACACCAGCGAUCAGGCAGUUCAUCAGAAUGUGGGCGACCUGCUGAUGGAUGAGCUGCCGCCGUGGCUGGACGUGGAUAACAGCACAGCUCACAUCACUGUGGACUCUCUGCUCGCCACUCCAAACAGGGAAACACCAGGCAGGCUCGCGACGAUUGGAACGGCUGAAGCCUCUCCAGGCAGAGUCUUAUCAACAGUAACCAACACUUUGACAACACCAGACUGUGAAAAUGGAGAGAGAAGCAGGAGACGGAGACCUGGGAAGGGUGCCGUGAGUUACAAGGAGCCGCCUCUCAACAGCAAAAUAAGGCGUGGAGAUAAAUUCACUGACACCACAUUCCUGAGUUCUCCUGUGUUUAAGGAUGGCCGGAAGAAAAAGAAGAAGACGACGACGACUGUCGACUGAUAAUUUGCCUUUUUUCCAUUUUACUGUUUUUAAAAAUUAUUUUAAGCUGUUUUCUUAUUAAAGUUGUUUGCUAACAUAAUUUUUCUAAAUAUUAGACCGGAAAGUAUUGUGUGUUUUUUAAGUGCUUUACAUUUCAGAUUAAAGUAGAAAUUUGAAGUAUUUGUUCUUGAGUCUUUUCUUCAAGCUGUGUUCUGCUGACACUCAACAAGACAAACUGUUACUAAAAAACUGUUAUAGUCAUUAUCGUUAACUUCUGUAAAGAGAAUUUCCCAAAUCUAGGUUUAAAAAGUAUAUCUUAUCUUUAAUACUAGCACAGGACAAUUGAUGGACUGUUAGGAAUUUGGGUUUUUUGUUUAUGCACAUAUAUCACAUAUAUAGCAUUUAGUAAAAUUUGUUUAAAUGUUUAGUAAUAUCAAACUGGCAUCAAAAAGGAAAAAGAAAAUCCUUUAGAUUGACCUUGAAGGAGAGGGCAGAGAUCAAAUAUGAAAUACUAGUUUGAAUCCUUCUACAGUACUUGUGUUGACAAUGUUUAACACAAGUACAAAGUUACAAGGCUUAGUUAUUGUCAUGAACUGACAAAAAACAAAGUCAUUAAGUUGACCUUGAAGACCUUUGUGGAUGACAGAUUUUAAUGGAUUGUUAACAUGAUCGACACUCCUAUAAAGUUUCAUUAGAAUUUAUUUAAAACUUUUUGAUCUCCCAUGUUUACAGACAGAAUGAUGACAUGCAUGCAUAACCUACUUGGCAGAGACAAUAAGCUUGACCUCAGUCACUACAUUGCUAAAAUGCUGCUGUUUCCUUAAUACUUCAGUACUGGUUUGUAGUCCUCUGAUAUUUUCCUCCUUAUACUUGCAUACAUUUGCGUAAGUACUAAUUUAGCCUUGUAGCAAAGUUACAAUAUGCUAUUAUGUUUUACUCCCCUUGCUGCUAUAUUGAUCGCAAUAGGCACAUUUAUGCACGUCAAUUCUCGCUGUGUUUCUACCUACCCUGCUCCACUUGUUUCCUUGUGAUGUCUGGUUUGGUAAUGAUCAGACUCACAGGUCUGUUGUAAAUUAUUCAGGCCAUGCUGUUCAUCUGAGAAGUCUGCUGGACGUUGCUGUUAAAAGCUUGUGUUCCUCCUAGAAAGGUUAAAGGAUUCAGUGUCGCAUGACUGCAGUCGUCGUUUAGGAUUUUGUAUGAUCGUGUUAGGUGAAGUACUGUAAUCGCCUCUUUUCGACCAGUUGA
Molecule: long non-coding RNA, 3266 nt
Filed under: Oreochromis niloticus (Nile tilapia)
Lineage: Eukaryota; Metazoa; Chordata; Actinopteri; Cichliformes; Cichlidae
Description: lncRNA (ENSONIG00000032496.1)
Source: RNAcentral